GCAGUCGAACGGUAACAGGAAGCAGCUUGCUGCUUUGCUGACGAGUGGCGGACGGGUGAGUAAUGUCUGGGAAACUGCCUGAUGGAGGGGGAUAACUACUGGAAACGGUGGCUAAUACCGCAUAACGUCGCAAGACCAAAGAGGGGGACCUUCGGGCCUCUUGCCAUCAGAUGUGCCCAGAUGGGAUUAGCUUGUUGGUGAGGUAACGGCUCACCAAGGCGACGAUCCCUAGCUGGUCUGAGAGGAUGACCAGCCACACUGGAACUGAGACACGGUCCAGACUCCUACGGGAGGCAGCAGUGGGGAAUAUUGCACAAUGGGCGCAAGCCUGAUGCAGCCAUGCCGCGUGUAUGAAGAAGGCCUUCGGGUUGUAAAGUACUUUCAGCGGGGAGGAAGGUGUUGUGGUUAAUAACCGCAGCAAUUGACGUUACCCGCAGAAGAAGCACCGGCUAACUCCGUGCCAGCAGCCGCGGUAAUACGGAGGGUGCAAGCGUUAAUCGGAAUUACUGGGCGUAAAGCGCACGCAGGCGGUCUGUCAAGUCGGAUGUGAAAUCCCCGGGCUCAACCUGGGAACUGCAUUCGAAACUGGCAGGCUUGAGUCUUGUAGAGGGGGGUAGAAUUCCAGGUGUAGCGGUGAAAUGCGUAGAGAUCUGGAGGAAUACCGGUGGCGAAGGCGGCCCCCUGGACAAAGACUGACGCUCAGGUGCGAAAGCGUGGGGAGCAAACAGGAUUAGAUACCCUGGUAGUCCACGCCGUAAACGAUGUCUACUUGGAGGUUGUGCCCUUGAGGCGUGGCUUCCGGAGCUAACGCGUUAAGUAGACCGCCUGGGGAGUACGGCCGCAAGGUUAAAACUCAAAUGAAUUGACGGGGCCCGCACAAGCGGUGGAGCAUGUGGUUUAAUUCGAUGCAACGCGAAGAACCUUACCUGGUCUUGACAUCCACAGAACUUUCCAGAGAUGGAUUGGUGCCUUCGGGAACUGUGAGACAGGUGCUGCAUGGCUGUCGUCAGCUCGUGUUGUGAAAUGUUGGGUUAAGUCCCGCAACGAGCGCAACCCUUAUCCUUUGUUGCCAGCGGUCCGGCCGGGAACUCAAAGGAGACUGCCAGUGAUAAACUGGAGGAAGGUGGGGAUGACGUCAAGUCAUCAUGGCCCUUACGACCAGGGCUACACACGUGCUACAAUGGCGCAUACAAAGAGAAGCGACCUCGCGAGAGCAAGCGGACCUCAUAAAGUGCGUCGUAGUCCGGAUUGGAGUCUGCAACUCGACUCCAUGAAGUCGGAAUCGCUAGUAAUCGUGGAUCAGAAUGCCACGGUGAAUACGUUCCCGGGCCUUGUACACACCGCCCGUCACACCAUGGGAGUGGGUUGCAAAAGAAGUAGGUAGCUUAACCUUCGGGGGGGCGCUUACCACUUUGUGAUUCAUGA
RNAcentral lists this ribosomal RNA (1425 nucleotides) under Salmonella enterica subsp. enterica serovar Typhi. Its description in RNAcentral is "bacterial SSU rRNA". It matches the Rfam family "Bacterial small subunit ribosomal RNA". Lineage: Bacteria; Pseudomonadati; Pseudomonadota; Gammaproteobacteria; Enterobacterales; Enterobacteriaceae. The record is from RNAcentral.